Lutra lutra (Eurasian river otter) is the source of this 568-nucleotide long non-coding RNA. RefSeq lists it as uncharacterized. Lineage: Eukaryota; Metazoa; Chordata; Mammalia; Carnivora; Mustelidae. The transcript is spliced from 3 exons. The record is from RefSeq and is a predicted model, not a curated record.
CUGCUUGAAUGUCUUCAUGAUGUGGUGGCUGACUUCCUCCAGAGCUGGUGAUCCAAGAGGGCAAGACAGCAGCUGCAUCUUUCGUGACCUAACCUCAGAAGUAACACUUUAUCAUUUCCACACUAUCUUACUGGUUACUUAGAAAAUCACUCCCAAAAUGUUAGAACAAGAAGAAACUUGUUCCUCCAUCUUCAAUGAAAAUAAGAAUCUUUAGAAACCCCACCAAGAUUGAAAGUAGUUGGAGAAUUGGUCAAAUUCAAGUGCCUGCGUUCGGAUUUGGGGAAGUGGUUGGCCACCUUAUUGCCCUUCAAGAAUGCUGACCAGUCAACAAAGCCCCUCCAUGUAGCAGGGGCCUUCCGUCAGCUCAGCUUUCAACAACAAGGGGCAACCAAAGAUCAUCAUACAAUUGGGGAGUGCCUCCAUCAUGAUAGAUGGAGACCAAAAAACUGACAAACCAGGGGGAAAAAACUCAAAGAAAACAGAAUUUCAGAGUCAUUGUGAGGACUAAGGAAAAAAACAAGAAAUUAUAACUCAUAUCUUCAGAGAUCUCAAACCCAUGAAGUAAAGA